Triticum urartu is the source of this 1347-nucleotide non-coding RNA. NCBI's taxonomy places the organism in Eukaryota, Viridiplantae, Streptophyta, Magnoliopsida, Poales, Poaceae. The record is from RefSeq and is a predicted model, not a curated record.
AUUGCAGAUAUGUCUUCGUAUCCGUUGCUUAAUGGUAACAUCGAUAGAAAGCACCGGGGCGCCCUUACGGAAGCGGGCAACAACUUAGACGUGUUGGUCACUCGUACCCCAAAGACUAACUGGCUGAUACACGAUUCAUGGGUUGAUAGGUUAAGUUGGGUUGGACUUCUACCCUUGGCACGGCUGGUUGAGGGUACAUUGGAUGAGUGGAUUGAUGGUCCGGACUUAGAUGAGGCAGGUGAACCAUUGCAGUUACACAAGAGGCAAGUGAACCGUUUCCCUUACGACAAGUCACUCCUUACCUGCUUAGUAGAUAGAUGGAGACCAGAGACACAUACGUUUCACUUUCCCUGGGGAGAGAUGGCGCCUACUUUACAGGAUGUGUCUUACUUGUUGGGAUUACCUCUGGCCGGUUCUGCCAUAGGUCCCUUAGAGGCAGAAUCUGGGUGGCAAGCAGCGAUGCAGACCCGUUUUUUGGCCGCGGUCCCGACUACUAGGGCCAUAGACAACGAUCCUCAUGGACCUCUUUUUAGAUGGUUGAGCCAGUUUCAGGUAACCAUCACGGCCACUUAAACAAAUAUUGUUUUUUAGUUGUCCGAUGUUCAUACAAUUAUUACGUUUCUAUGUAGAUUGUCUCGUUAGGACAUCCCAACGUUCAGUUGUCGGAGGCACAAAUUGACCGGUCCCUAGAGGCAUAUAUUCUUUGGCUGUUCGGCAAGACAAUGUUUACGGAGAACCAUGUGACCACUGUCGAUGCAUGACUCAUUGGUAUUGCACGAGAGAUAGCUGACGCACGUUGCCCUGCGGAUAUUCUAUAGAGGAGUUUUGGUUCUGCUGUGUUAGCGGCUACGUACAGAGGCCUGUGCAAAGCUUGCUUGUUGAAGUCUAGAAAAUCUAGUCAUGUUGGAUGUCCAUUAUUGUUGCAGCUCUGAUCAUACGAGAGAUUCCCUAUUGGACGACCCUAUGUCUACGUUGAUAAACCUUUUGGUUUGGAGGACUUAGCGGGGACUUAUGUGCCUACUAUCGGCGACUUACCUACUAUGGGAUUUGUUUGGACACGACGAGAGAGACAGUUUGUGCAUACUCAGGUUAGGGGAUGCUACCCGUCCUUCAUGGCGUAGUUUGAUAGUUUGCACGAGGAUCAAGUUAUUUGGGAGCCAUACUCGCCUCAGGCUAUAUCAUCGAGGUAUCCAGUUGGGAUUUCUGGAUUGUGCACUAGAGAUCGACACUUUUGGAUGACCAAGGCCAAGUUGGUGUUCGACGUGACGGUUGAGGAGAUGUCUCUUCAUAGGGUGAUGAGACAGUUCGGUCUAUAUCAACAGCCUGAGAUUCCAGAUAUUCCACACU